GCAAACUUGGUCAUUUAGAGGAAGUAAAAGUCGUAACAAGGUCUCCGUAGGUGAACCUGCGGAGGGAUCAUCAUUGAAUUUAAACUUGAACAAAAGGUUGGCUGUUUUUUGGGGGAGAGGAAUUGCUGGAGAGGAAAACUCUGCAUUUCUCCCUUGAAUGUGGUCUCCUUUUGGACAAACAACCAAUUUACAUGACUAGGAGAAAAACAUUGACUUGGAUGAUGAUGUUGUGUGGGGAGGGGGGAUAUAUAUAUGAAAAGUUCUUGUCUGAGACAAGUGGCUUGCUGAUUUGGAGCACAAUAACAACUGAUACAACUUUCAACAACGGAUCUCUUGGCUCUCACAUCGAUGAAGAACGCAGC
Molecule: unclassified non-coding RNA, 362 nt
Filed under: uncultured fungus
Lineage: Eukaryota; Fungi
Description: partial contains small subunit ribosomal RNA, internal transcribed spacer 1, and 5.8S ribosomal RNA
Rfam family: Eukaryotic small subunit ribosomal RNA (bases 1-73)
Source: RNAcentral